GUUACUUUCUCAGCUGUAACCAGGAGGCAGGGAAGAAGGCAAUGCAGUCCUCAUUCUUUAGAGACUCAACCUGUGUCCCCAGCCCUCCCCACCUCCUCCCACACCCCCCUCCAAACUCAGCUUGGCUGGGAAAGGAAACUCCCCAGUCUGCUGUGCUCCUGCAAGCUGAGUGUUUGCAGGUGAAUCUACUCCAGGCCGUGAGCGCCCCAGAGGUGGGAACUAUAUCUUAGUCACCCUUGUACUUUCAAGCCUCACAAUGGGACCUGCCGAAAAAAGGGCACUCAGUAAACGUCUUGUGAACGCAUGAAUUGGGCAGCUGUUGGUGUACGUGUUUUGUUUCUGAUGCUGAGACCCUUCCUGAACCGGAUCUCCAUCCCUUCACUGAGCAGGGUUCACACAUAUUUAUGUUGGAGUGCAAAGGCUUCCGAUGCCCGGACACGUGUCCUCCAAUCUGAGAAGGGAACCAGGGAAGGGGCUGGAGUUGAUGCAUCUUGACUUAAGGGCUGAAGAGUUGGCAAUUUUGGAGGCCAGUGAAGAGCCACGUAGAAAAUGUCCCGCUGCCUGCCAUCAUCAGCAGCUCCUCUUGCUCCCAUCCUGCAGAGAGGGCUCCCACACAGAGAGCAGACACAGGGACCUCUUUAAAAUGAAGAUGAAAUGCACCUGGUUCUACCACCUAGUUAGAAGCAGUUAUGAAGGUUGAAGAGCUGUUAUCUGAGAUUUAUAGCCCCAAAUCUAUGAGAUAGACUCUCCUAAUUAAUAAGACAAGGAUGACUAGAAAGUUGUGAAAACUACCUGGCAGGGCUUGGAGCCUGCUGUCACCACCACGAUGAUAGCACUGUCUUUGCUGCUGAGCCUAUUAGAAUGUCAGGAUGUGCAUUCUUCUCUCCUAGUGGGAUGGCACGGUUCACCUGGCUAUUACAGAGAAGCAAGUGCAGAUCGUGACUUAAGGCUCCGGGAGGAGAGUUAAUCAGGGAAGAGCUGGUUGACAAGACUCACUCAGUGCAUGACUUGAGAGCACCAAGAGGGGGAAAGGGAGAAGAAAGAACCUCUUCCAAAGGCAGCAUCCACCCCCUUGACAAAGGGCCAUUUCCCCCAGCCCGGGGUGCUUUCUGACUUCCUUUGUUCCCCGAUGAGCAUUUUCUUCCUUGUCCCCAGCCUUCACAUAAGUUCAAUUCAACAUCCUCUCUCUCUUCUCCCAAUGUCCUCUCCUUAAUUUUGCUGCAUCCUCCAAUGUGAAUGUUUGCCUCCUGGUCUGGGAUCUGUCUUAUUCCCUUUAUCUCACCUGAAAAAACUCUCCCCUUUAAUCUCUGCUCAUUCAAGUCCUGCCCAUCCUUCAAAGUAUGGCCAAGCUCACCUCUUCCAGAAAGCCCCACCCUGUGGUGUUAUCUCCAUCCUGAAUCACAGCAGCACUUACUGUGAGAUAACUAUCAGGUUACAUCUAUCAGAGUUCAAUGCACUCUCCCCAAAUGAAGUGGACACUUGUUGGCAGUAAGAAGAGAAGCUUUUUGCACCAAGUGGUGCAUUCAAUGCAAUGCAAGGAGACUGUGACGAUACUGAAAUGAGUAUUACCCGGCCCCAGGAGAUGAACACCGUCCUUGCUUGAUGCCAGUUCAUAAAGAGAGCUCUUGUUUAUUGAGAGCUUAUGAGUGCUGAGGAAUUCACAUAAAUCAUCUCAUCUAAAUUUUCCAACAAUCAUGAGAUGGUUUCUCUUAUUUCCUCCUUUUACGCAUGAAGAAACUGGGGCUCAGGAGGUUAGAUGACUUUCUCAGAGUCACACAGAUAGUACAGGGCUGACCCAGAAUUCAAGCCCAGGUCUGGCAGACUCCAGCACCCGCCCUUUGCCUCCACGACCAAGUACAAGCAGCAGGCUGGCACUGGCCUUUCCCUGCUAUGACUGCCGAGCUGGGUUACACCUGCUGCUGGUCCCCAGCACCAGGCACACGACGUAACUGUGAGUCCUCCGAGUAUGUGAGGGAGCUGGCACUCACCUUCUGCCUGAAGCAAAGGAGCUGUGCUCUUCCGUUUCAGUGUGAAAAAGCCUCAGAAGAUGCCCAGCUUAGAAGGACACAAGAGACAGUCUGUGGACAACAUCUCCACUUCCUGGCGUCCUCAGCACUGUUGCUAGUGAAGCUACUCUGCCCAAGGUCUCCAGAGAGCUUCUGAAAGAAGUCAGGACUCAUGCAUGCAGAUGAAUACGCCUCGUGGGUAUUCACCAGGUCCUCUUGGGAAGCCAGCUCUGUGUCCCAGGCACACCGUCUGUGUGCAAGAGAAGGGGAGCACCUGAGUUUGGGAACUGCUUUCGUACCAGCUUAUAGGCCACCCCAAGAACCGGCCUCCUGGCUUCCUAGUCACAGACCGCCUGCAGGGUUGACUUAUGCAUCCUUUUGCAGGAGACAGGCUCACUUCUCUCCUGUGACUAACAUGGAAUUACGGGUUAAGGAGGGAAGUUGUACUCACCUGUUGAUUCAUUUAUUCACUCACUUGCUCACUCAUCAAUCAUUUCUUCAACAAUGAAACCCUUACUAGACAAAUACUGACUCCCUGCUCCAGAAUAACUAUCUGUUCGGUGCUAGGACUGUCAAAUGAGUAAGCGUUUCUUCCCACAGGCGUUCAGGGUCUAUUUCUGCACUUUACAGACAGGCAAGACAGAAGUGAUCAGAAGCGGCCACCAACCAUGGAGUUCAGAAACACGGCACAGUUCUGGAAGAGGCGAAAGGCGGCUCUUCCAUCCAUGCUGGUCAAGAGGAAAUUCAACACACCUCACAGCCAUUGAAUCUGACCAGGCGUGUAAUACAUCCCAUCGUCUUGUCAGUUAGCAGCUGUGGGACCUUGAAGGCUUCUUAAAUUCCCCAAGUCUAGACUUUCUUAUCUUUAAAAUGCAGCUGAAAACAAUGCCUGUCUCAUGGAGGUGUAAGGGUUAAAUGGAAUCAUGUAGCAAGCAUUCAGCACAUGUCAAGUCCAGGUCAAGGCCAACAUGCAGGGGCAGGGAGAGGUGUAACCUCUUUCAGUUUGGAGCCAUGCAGGACCCUGCCAUUUGCAGCCCUUUGGGGUAAGACUGUAGCCCCCAAACAUCCUGCUGCCCCAGAGCAGUGGCCCAGCAGGUGCACUGAGAGCUCUGGUGCACCUGGCAUGCCCCGACUCCUCACACAGCAGCAACAGGGACAGUGACAGGGACCUGAGAUGGGGUGGCCCACCUGGCUGGCAGCUGGCACUGGGCACAUUGCCCAGAAGUUGGGGAGUUCUCAGGUAGGGGCAGAGGUGGGUGUUUGAGGGAGCAGUUAGCAGCACUGUCUGCUGUGGCAGGGGUCUCCUGGGUAAGGUCAGAGGGAUUCGAGGAGGCCCAGGGAUCACCCCAGGGUGGGGUGGGACGCUGCUCAAGUCACAAAGCAAAGUUGCAGGGUGUAGGGGAGGGGAUGGGACUGUUAGUCUAAUUGUGACUCAUCUCUCCUUAUUUUUCUCCUUAUCUCUUGUAUUUAUUUUUUUCAAUCCUCCCAAGUUACUGGGCCUUGAGGACACUCCUAGUGUGUGUGUGUGUGUGUGUGUGUGUGUAUGUGUGUGUGUGUGUGUAUUUCUAUAUAUAUAAUUUUUCUUUUUUUUGAGACAGAGUUUCGCUCUUGUUGCUCAGGUGGAAGUGCAAUGGUGCGAUCUCAACUCACUGCAACCUGCAUCUCCUGGGAUCGCUUGAGCCCAGGAAGUCGAGGCUGCAGUGAGCCAUGAUCAUAUUUGCCAGCCUGGGUGACAGAGCAAGACCAUCUCAAAGAACGUAUUUACCGAAUGAAGUUUUAUGAUGUUCUCUAGCACUUUUUAGUUUAUUGUCUUUAAAAAGAAACCCUCUGAAGUGUCUCUGGAGAAUACAAACGCAUGCGCGCAUGCACACGCUGGGAACAGGAGCUGCUUCAGUAGGUAACUGAGUGGGAGGGAGGUUAGCUUUUCACUGUGACCCUUAUCUGUACACCUGCUAACUCAAAAUAAUUUAAUAACAACAACAAUGACAAUAAAAAGGGAGUGAGUGCUCUCAUUUUA
RNAcentral lists this long non-coding RNA (4023 nucleotides) under Homo sapiens (human). RNAcentral's name for it is "long non-coding RNA NONHSAT215546.1". The record is from RNAcentral. Lineage: Eukaryota; Metazoa; Chordata; Mammalia; Primates; Hominidae.